Salvator merianae (Argentine black and white tegu) is the source of this 4714-nucleotide long non-coding RNA. The record is from Ensembl. Lineage: Eukaryota; Metazoa; Chordata; Lepidosauria; Squamata; Teiidae.
AUGCUGGAAUUCUUGGAUCAUCAUAUGCCUCAACUGGACAUCAGAGGCCGUGAGAACAGUGUUGGCUUUGUCGUUCAGCUUCCUGAAGANAUUUCUGCACCCCCUAUUUCUGCUGUUGCUGAGAACCUUAUGGAAAGCCUAGCAUGUCAGGCACCAGCACUGAUUCGGGACAUCCUCGAGAGCCACCCGCAUGGUCUAAAAAUGAAGAAGCUAAGUGAAGUCUUAAAAACGAAGUAUGGGUUUGACCUAGAAUCAUUCUGUUGUGUCCUUGGCUACAACAGUGUGGAGUCUUAUCUACAGGACAUUCCUGGGCUGUUUAGGACCCGGAACUGUGUUAUCCGCCUUCGGCCACGUUCCCCAAGUCCUGCUCCUUCCCUGGACACAGAUUUUUCUGCAUGCUACUCAAAUGGUGCUCAUGAGNAGUUAACAACAAAAGAUUCUGGGGCUGCCAGCACUACUCCUGCUUUGGACAGUGAUGUGUCUGCGGGUAGCUGGAAUGCUGUGUCCCAGAAAAAGAUAGCAAAGAAGCCUGACCUUGGGUCUUCCUUCAUCCCAGUCCUUAAUGUUCUUCAAAAUCACCCCCAUGGUCUGAAUCUAAAGGAACUGAAGGAGAACCUGAAGAAAAAGCAUGGCUUUGACUUGGAUGCUGCCAGUCAACAACUGGGCUAUGGGCAUGUUGUAGCUUUCCUGCUGAAUGUGCCAGGGCUUAGUUUCACUUUCACCAGUGGCAAGUGGCCCUGCAACUGUGUUGUUAGGCUGCUUUCGGAUAGGAAUGGCAUUCCAUCCUUGACCCUCAGUGGUGGUCCUUCUUUGGAUAAGUUCCCGUCAUCCAGUGGCUCAGACAUCCUUCCUCAGCCUUUGAUGGAAACACAGCCAGUUUCCCAUGCCCUCCCUCCUCCUGGUACUACUUCAUCCUUGGACUCAGAAAAGUUUGCCAGUAAAUCAGAAACCCCAGAUGAAAAUAUGCUGGGAAAGAAGCCAGCUGCAUGUGCAUCUGCUUCAUCCCAGUGCAGCACUUCUCUCUCUGAAAACAAGGAAGAACCCACUGUCACAUCAAAAAAAUGUAAUCAAAAUGAGCUAGGAAAGAAGGCUGCUGAGUUGACAGAAGUCUUGCAAUUACUCACCAACCUCCUAUCGAGACACAAGUGUGGCCUGAGAGUUAAGAAAGUUCAGGAAAUCCUGUUGACCACAGAAAAAAUUGAUCUAGAGCAGUACAGUAUUGCCCUAGACUACAAGGACUCACUGGAAUUUUUGGAGCAUCGGAUGCCGGAUCUAAAGAUCAAACACCGAGAGAACAGAGCCAAGUGUGUUGUUCGGAUUGGAUCAGGUCCUGAUGCCAUCCCUUCUGUUUCUGAUGCUCCUGUGCCACUCUUGAAGCCAACAAAACCCAAUAAGCUGCCUGACUCUGCACCAGUUAAUUCUGCACACGACUCUGGUGCUAUGUGCAAGCCUUCAUUCACUGUCCAGGAAUCAUUGUCGUGUAAAUCAAAGAUUCCGAGUUUACCAGCUUUGACUACUUUAGCAGCACCGGCAAUAGGGAACAGACCUCCUACCAGCCUGCCACUUCCGUCUGUUAUGCAUCCAACACCUCCAUCUCUUCUACACUCCCAUGGGGUUUUAUCAACCAAUCAGAAGAACUUCUCCCAGCCUCUCUCCAGCAUUCCAUCCCAGCAGUCAAGUGCCUACCAGUCCAAUGGAUCACUAUCAGCUAAAAAAGCUCCUGGUCUGUCAGAUGUCCAGCCUUCUAAGGACCUUGUAGAACUGAAGCAACAGGUGUCCCUCAUUUUGUCUAGGUAUCCUGAGGGGAUGUCACUCUUCCAGUUUCGUGCUGCCUAUAGUGCCGCUUACCAACAGCACCUGCCCCUAGGCAAUGCUUCCUCUGCCAAGCAACGCCUGAUGCAGAUGCCAGAUGUUGUUACUCUGUUGGGCUGUGGGGUCCAGACGCUGCUUCUACCUGCAUCCUCUCAGCCAUUGACUGUAAAGUCUGAUCAGCCUGUUUCUUGCAAAUUGGAAAAUGCAUCGCUGAUUCCCAGCUGUCCGCUGCCCAUAUCUCCAGCAGUGACUAAGCCUACAUCAGUAGUCAAGCCAUCUUCUGUUUCCUGGAUUCCAGGCAUGUCUCAGCCCCACACCAUUUGUCCUCUCUCUUCAGAUCCUCUCAGCCACCUCUUGAAGGCAAAGGAAAACACAAGUUCUAAACAAGAGCAUGGGAACACCAGAGCCAUUUUAGAAGACCAUGCAAUCAAACCUGGUCUGCCCAAGAUAAAGCAUACUGAAGCGGUUCUUGGCCAGCCUUUGCCAAAAAAUGUUGCUGUGGUAGUUCCUGAACCUUGCCUUAGGCCUGCAGAUCCCACUGCUGCAGUAUUGUCUGGGCCCUGGCCCUCUCUCUCUUCACUCCGGUCUUCUGAAUUUCCAGUCCAGAAGGCACUCAAACCUUUAGGUUCUGUGCCAGAACUGGUGAGGACUAGACCCAAACCAGUAGACAAUUCCCAGUGCCCUGUAGUGCACCCAGGAGCUUCCCAAACCAGAAGAUGGGCCGAGGUUGUGAAAUCCAAUAACCUUAAGUCCAGCACCACAGUUCCAGCUAACUCUUGGCAUUUUAGUAGUAGUACUUCAGGUUCCCACUUUCAGCCUGUCUCUGGCAGCUCUUCAACAUGGAAUCAACCAGUUGUGCACCCUUCUCUACCAGUCUUUUCUCUCCAUCCAGCAGCAUUCCUUCCAGUUUCUGGAAAGCCCUCUGAGAUCCAGUUUUCAAAUACUGCAAUGUAUACCUGCAGAGACAUCUGGCCUACACCUCAAAUUAGUCCAGCAAAAGAAGUGUCUUCCAUCCAAAUCCCAGAAAAGGUGAACUGUGUUCAUACCGUGCCAGAACAAAAUUCCUUUUCUCAGGGACACAAGGUAUCCCAAACCCUAGGGUUCCCCACUAGCUUGACUCCUGUCCAAUCUGUCAGACAGCAUCCUGUUUCUUCCCCUCCCCAAAACAUAUCCAGCUUCCACCCACCCAGAUCGAAGAUUUUUAAUGGAUCAGAAGGUGAUCAAUGUAUACGCUUAGAUACUUUGCCACACCAUUCUUUUUCCGAUAAAAGCCUUGUGAGGGGUGUGUCUUCAAGCAAAGUUUCUUCUGAGUUUCCAGCAUCCACACAGCAGAAACGGAACAGUGAUGGGAGCUAUUCUGCAACCUCCACAAGCAAACUGUCAUUGCUUUCACAGUCUGCACACACCAACACUGCCCAGCAGUCUGUAUAUCCUUCCUUCCCUGUCAGCAGUGAUCCUGCUCUUCUUCAUUCUGAGUCUGGAACCAUCAGAUAUCAGAAAUACACUGAUGUGGACUCCACCAUAACUGCCUCAAGCACAAAGCCAGCCAACUUGCUGCCUUCCCCUCCAUGCUCCCCAACUAUCCCAUCCUGGCAGCCCCUGUAUGCUUCCUCUCACAUUAGCAAUCAGUCUUCUGCAACGUCUCAGUCUUGGAACUAUGUGCAUCAGAAACGAGAUGCCCAAGUGAGCCCUGUCAAAAUGAUCACAGACCCAAAAUUGACAACUUUGCCUUCUUCCCCUUUUGGAACUCCACCUACCCUAUCUCGCCAGCCCUCUUUUCAUUCCAGGGUGGAUUAUGGUGCUUCUAAUGGGGCUGGACUGCUGGACAGUUCUCCACUCUUUUCUCCUCCUCCUCUGAAUAACUUUCCUAACAAAAUGUCUGAGAAAUGUGUUAUCUUAUAAUAGCAAAUAUUAUGGAGGUAAUUCCAAAAGGCUUUUAUGCAUGGAUAUUUGUUUUUAGAGGAUGACCUUGAUACUGAAUGAUGUCUUUUGUGUCCAGCUGAGCCAGGCUGCCCUGGAUAUUUCAGUUCAAUCAUCAGUUGCUGCGGUCUUAGAUUUUAAAAUCCUGUUCCUCUGUGAAUCUUUUUUAAAAAACUGGAUGCCAAGAUCUCCUAAAGCAUACAGAGUGGGAGAGCAGGAAGGCUUUUGGACACGAGCAGGCUGUAAGUCCAAAGCUGCUCUUCAAAAUGAGGUGAACAAUGAAGACUGAACUUCUUUGAUCAUGUUUCUGUAGAACCCAAGAUUAGUUUCAAUGCAACAAUAAUAAUGAAAUAGAAAUGGGUGAGAGAGCCAAUGCACAACAGUAAAAUAUUCUAAAAAACAUCAACUGCAAGAAGAAAAUGGCACAUCCUCUACCUGGAUCAGGGGUGGCUUAAGCAGGAUGAGACCAAACCUGAUGUGUGCCUCUUUGGGCUAAUUUGGUGCCCUUGAAAUGCCUUUGCUUUUUGAGCACUUAGUGGGCUAAGAGGAGGAUAGUUUGCCAUGUUGGGAGUUACAGUGAGUUUGGGAGAUGGAGUGGGAAUCUCAUGCAUUCUUCCUACCCANCUGCCUCACAUUCAUUUACUUUCUUUGGCAGGAGGAAGAAAGGAAAGUAGGUCUUUGCAGGAGCUGUCAGCACUCCUUACCUGUUACUCUCUGGCUAGCUGGUCAACCCUUGAUUCAGCCCAGGGCUGAAGUACUUCAUAUGGUUUAUGUCAGGUGACAAGAAUGGUGUGGAGAUGGCUCCUAAAGGAUGUUGGCUCUCCUGCAAAGCUUUCCUUGAGUGAGAGUUCCUUGGGCAGAGAGUCACUGUGGAAAGGCCCUGAUCUGUGCACAUCUUUGCUUUGGUCAGGGAGGGGGCAUAGGGGACGACCUCUUAAAGCAGGUUCAUUUUUAAUGGCCAAGAUCUGUAGUGUAUUCUGUG